UACAGAGGUCUCAAGCGUUGUUCGGAUUCAUUGGGCGUAAAGGGUGCGUAGGUGGCGCUGUAAGUCGGGUGUGAAAUUUCGGAGCUUAACUCCGAAACUGCAUUCGAUACUGCGGUGCUUGAGGACUGGAGAGGAGACUGGAAUUCAUGGUGUAGCAGUGAAAUGCGUAGAGAUCAUGAGGAAGACCAGUGGCGAAGGCGGGUCUCUGGACAGUUCCUGGCACUGAGGCACGAAGGCCAGGGGAGCAAACGGG
RNAcentral lists this ribosomal RNA (253 nucleotides) under uncultured bacterium. RNAcentral's name for it is "partial 16S ribosomal RNA". It matches the Rfam family "Bacterial small subunit ribosomal RNA", at positions 524 to 776 of the family's 1533-position model. The record is from RNAcentral.